Non-coding RNA from Cyanistes caeruleus (blue tit), 2595 nucleotides. NCBI's taxonomy places the organism in Eukaryota, Metazoa, Chordata, Aves, Passeriformes, Paridae. The record is from RefSeq and is a predicted model, not a curated record.
UCCUGUGUCCAGUUCUGGGUCCCUCAUUACAGGAAGGACAUUGAGGUACCGGAGUGUGUCCAGAGAAGGCCAACAGAGCUAGGGCAGGGUUUGCAGUGUAAGUCCUAUGAGGAGUAGCUGAGGAUACUGGAAGUGUUUUGUCUGGAGAAAAGGAGGUUCAGGAGAUCACUCUGUACAACUUAUCACUCUGUACAACUCCCUUGGAGGAGGCUGUAGCCAGGUGAGGGUUGGCCUCAUCUCCCAGGCAGCCAGUGACAGGAGGAAAGGACAUAGCCCCAAGCUUCACUAGGGGAGGUUCAGGUUGGAUGUGAGGAAGAAUUUUUUCACUGAAAGGGUAGUGUCAGAAUGGACUGCCCAGAGAGGUGGUGGAGUCACUAUCAGUGGGAAUGUUCAGUAAAUGACUGGGUGCGGCACUUAGUGUUAUGGCCUAGUUGUCAAGGUGGUGAUCAGUCAAAGGUUGGGCUUGAUGAUCUUGAAGGUCUUUUCCAGCCUUAAUGGUUCUGUGAUUCACUGUGAUUCUGUGAACACUUGUACAUUCAUCUGUUCUUACCUUCACACUGAUCUGUGCAAGUGGACUUCAAAACAUACUUGUGAGAGGCCCAGGCAUUGCUCUUACAGGAGUUAUUGACAAGGAUAUUUUGAUACCUGUUUUCUCAAGUUGCUUUGAUGGUUCUGACAUUUUCAGUUUUCUCCUUUUCUGCAGAACUAUUGCUGCUCCUCAGAGUCUUGUUGCACUGGCUGCCAGAUAAAUUCAGGCUAGUGUCAGCAUGGAGACCAGCCGGUAUAGAAGUCAGAGGUAGGUUAAAACCUUUGAUUCCUCUUUUAGUGCCAGGAAUGCACUAUCAACCUGUUUCUGAAUGAUAGGGGAGCCAUGUGGGUCAGAUGCCUUCUCACAGCCCAGUUCUCUUUCUCCCCUGCAGUAAAAUAAACUGUGGUGUGUCUUCUUGAUCUCUAGCAGAGAAGUGACUCCUUCAAGAGGCAGGUGUGAUUUGGGAGGUUUUAUAUUCACAGCUUUAUCUCACACGUACCUAUCACAGUUAUGUUGGAAGAGAAGCUGGUCAGGCUUUCUUGAACUCUCCUUUGGACCAGACCAGAGAAAGUGAACCUCAGGAAGAAAUCUGAAGGAAGAAAUAAUAAAUCUAAAGGAUUGUGUCACAGGAGACGUUUCAUGCAUAAGUAACAGGAAAAGAAAGUGGAAAUGUUUGCAAGAAUUAUGAACACUUCCACUGACAUUUCCACUGACCUUGUUGAAACCCUAUCAGACAAAGCAAGGAGUAUAUGGGACUAUCUUCACACCACCACGCUCAAGGCCUUCACAGAACAACCUUGCAGCAAGCUGCUGACCUAUCUGCUGCUGCUGCUCCUUUUGACUGCAGGAGUAGUCAAAGUCUGGAAAGACAGUAUAAGAGCUACAGCAUUAUAUUUGGAACAUUAAAAAUAAGCAAAAGGAAAUGAGUACAAUUCUUAGUCUUUGCCAGAAGGUCCUCAAUUCAUAUUAUGGCUUCAAAUACAGAGUGGCUAUCCUAGUAGAAAAUUGUGGACACCUUUUGAGGGUGGCACAAAGGAAAGAAGGGAUAUAUGUCAGCACAUUGGUCAACAGUAACUGUUCCUGUGUGAAGAAAUUUCAUGGUAGACCUCACUGUAGCCACAUAAUAGCUCAGAAGACAGCCUGUGUCUAUGUAACCCUGCUGCUUCCUCAAGAAGCUGACAUAUCACAUUAACAGUGGAUGGUGCUGUGUCCUACAGCUGUCUUGAUGUAUGUGUGAUGUCCAGAAUCUGAUGCCAGCCAGCAGACAUUUGUGUUGCAAAGAGCUGGUGCAAAGCUGCAAGCACUGAGACUGCUGCACUGUCCAGUAACUAUUACAAGCUCAUCUAUGGGCUUACAGUCUCUUGGAGGACCUGCAACAAUUCUUCACAGCACUGCUGUACUUUGCUCAAGUAGUAAGGAGUAAACUUCAACUCCACACAUAUAAUAUUUGCAGGAGUUUUCUUCUUGGUUUAGACCUACAGAUUUCAGCGCAAAGAUGGUGAUCUAAGUUAUAUUUUCUGCCUGACUUUACAGAUGUACAGUGUAAAUUUGCAAAAAACAAAAGCCUUUUUCUCUUGAAGUUAAUUUAACAUUUGUUGAAACCUUUUUUCCCAGUGAAUUAUUUUUUUUCCAGUAAUUUUUUUUCCUCAAACCAUUUUGUACAUUGCAUAUUUCAUUAAAACCAUAUCUAGAAACAGUUUCAAUGAGUAACUUUCAACCGGUUCAUGCAUACUAGGACUCACUAGGACUCACAAAAAUGCAUAUAUGCUUAGAUGUCCUUAAAGGAGAACACUAUUUAUAUCAUCUGUAUUAAUACUCUCCAAGACUAAUGUACUUGUCCUUGUCCUAAAUAAAAUUAAUGCUAGAAUUGCUUCCUAUUGCCAGCGUACUUUCAGACGGCCUAAAUUAAAAAAAAAAAAAGCAAAAAACUUGAGUCUGCAUGAAUACAUCCAUAAUGAUGUCUCCAUUUUAUUCCUAAUUAAAAGCUCAUUAAUAUCAAAGACAAUUGUAAGAAACCCAGAUGAGACCUUAUCAUUUGGGAUUUUAAGAUUGAAGGCACUCACAAU